Molecule: ribosomal RNA, 253 nt
Filed under: uncultured bacterium
Lineage: Bacteria
Description: partial 16S ribosomal RNA
Rfam family: Bacterial small subunit ribosomal RNA
Source: RNAcentral
UACGUAGGGGGCAAGCGUUGUCCGGAUUCAUUGGGCGUAAAGAGCUUGUAGGCGGUUUGUCGCGUCUGCCGUGAAAAUCCGAGGCUCAACCUCGGACUUGCGGUGGGUACGGGCAGACUAGAGUGUGGUAGGGGAGACUGGAAUUCCUGGUGUAGCGGUGAAAUGCGCAGAUAUCAGGAGGAACACCGAUGGCGAAGGCAGGUCUCUGGGCCACUACUGACGCUGAGAAGCGAAAGCGUGGGGAGCGAACAGG